RNAcentral lists this ribosomal RNA (496 nucleotides) under uncultured bacterium. Its description in RNAcentral is "partial 16S ribosomal RNA". It matches the Rfam family "Bacterial small subunit ribosomal RNA", at positions 28 to 506 of the family's 1533-position model. The record is from RNAcentral.
GAUGAACGCUGGCGGCGUGCCUAAUACAUGCAAGUCGAGCGAACGGACGAGAAGCUUGCUUCUCUGAUGUUAGCGGCGGACGGGUGAGUAACACGUGGAUAACCUACCUAUAAGACUGGGAUAACUUCGGGAAACCGGAGCUAAUACCGUAUAAUAUUUUGAACCGCAUGGUUCAAAAGUGAAAGACGGUCUUGCUGUCACUUAUCGAUGGAUCCGCGCUGCAUUAGCUAGUUGGUAAGGUAACGGCUUACCAAGGCAACGAUGCAUAGCCGACCUGAGAGGGUGAUCGGCCACAGUGGAACUGAGAGACGGUACAGACUCCUACGGGAGGCAGCAGUAGGGAAUCUUCCGAAAUGGGCGAAAGAAUGACGGAGCAACGCAGCGUGAGUGAUGAAGGUCUUCGGAUCGUAAAACUCUGUUAUUAGGGAAGAACAUAUGUGUAAGUAACUGUGCACAUCUUGACGGUACCUAAUCAGAAAGCCACGACUAACUACGU